Molecule: transfer RNA, 82 nt
Filed under: Streptomyces coeruleorubidus
Lineage: Bacteria; Bacillati; Actinomycetota; Actinomycetes; Kitasatosporales; Streptomycetaceae
Description: tRNA-Val
Source: RNAcentral
GGCCACCGUGGGCGGCGGCGCGGCCCGCCGUGCGCCGUUCACGGCGGCGGCCUGGCGCCCGUUCUCGGCGGCCUGAUGGCCG